GACGAACGCUGGCGGCGUGCUUAACACAUGCAAGUCGAACGGAAAGGCCCUGCUUUUGUGGGGUGCUCGAGUGGCGAACGGGUGAGUAACACGUGAGUAACCUGCCCUUGACUUUGGGAUAACUUCAGGAAACUGGGGCUAAUACCGGAUAGGAGCUCCUGCUGCAUGGUGGGGGUUGGAAAGUUUCGGCGGUUGGGGAUGGACUCGCGGCUUAUCAGCUUGUUGGUGGGGUAGUGGCUUACCAAGGCUUUGACGGGUAGCCGGCCUGAGAGGGUGACCGGCGACAAUGGGACUGAGAUACGGACCAGACUGCUACGGGAGGCAGCAGUGGGGAAUAUUGCACAAUGGGCGGAAGCCUGAUGCAGCAACGCCGCGUGCGGGAUGACGGCCUUCGGGUUGUAAACCGCUUUCGCCUGUGACGAAGCGUGAGUGACGGUAAUGGGUAAAGAAGCACCGGCUAACUACGUG
Molecule: ribosomal RNA, 468 nt
Filed under: uncultured bacterium
Lineage: Bacteria
Description: partial 16S ribosomal RNA
Rfam family: Bacterial small subunit ribosomal RNA
Source: RNAcentral